Molecule: ribosomal RNA, 422 nt
Filed under: uncultured archaeon
Lineage: Archaea
Description: partial 16S ribosomal RNA
Rfam family: Archaeal small subunit ribosomal RNA
Source: RNAcentral
CUACGGGCCGCUCCAGUUAGGAAUAAUCUACAAUGCACGAAAGUGUGAUAGUUUGAGUCAAAGUGCGUUUCAAUUUGAAAUGCUUUUAUGGAAUGUAAAAAGUUCCACGAAUAAGGACUGGGUAAGACAGGUGCCAGCCGCCGCGGUAAUACCUGCGGUCCAAGUCGCAGCCAUUUUUAUUGGGUCUAAAACAUCCGUAGCUUGCUUGGUAAGUUUCUUGUGAAAUUCCAUAUCUUAAAUAUGGAGCGGGCAGGAAGUACUGCCAAGCUAGAGACUGGGAGACGUAAGAAGUACGUUCGAAGUAGCGGUAAAAUGUGUUAAUCUCGAGCGGACUCACAACAGCGAAGGCAUCUUACGAGAACAGUUCUGACAGUAAGGGAUGAAGGCUAGGGGCGCAAAACGGAUUAGAUACCCGUGUAGUC